UACGGAAGGCAGCAGUGGGGAAUAUUGCACAAUGGGCGCAAGCCUGAUGCAGCCAUGCCGCGUGUAUGAAGAAGGCCUUCGGGUUGUAAAGUACUUUCAGUCGUGAGGAAGGUGUUAAGGUUAAUAACCUUAGCAAUUGACGUUAGCGACAGAAGAAGCACCGGCUAACUCCGUGCCAGCAGCCGCGGUAAUACGGAGGGUGCGAGCGUUAAUCGGAAUUACUGGGCGUAAAGGGCACGCAGGCGGUUAAUUAAGUUGGAUGUGAAAUCCCCGGGCUUAACCUGGGAAUGGCAUUCAAGACUGGUUAGCUAGAGUCUUGUAGAGGGGGUAGAAUUCCAUGUGUAGCGGUGAAAUGCGUAGAGAUGUGGAGGAAUACCGGUGGCGAAGGCGGCCCCUGGACAAAGGCUGACGCUCAUGUGCGAAAGCGUGGGGAGCAAACAGGGAUUAGAUACC
This 453-nucleotide ribosomal RNA is filed under the name uncultured bacterium. RNAcentral's name for it is "bacterial SSU rRNA". It matches the Rfam family "Bacterial small subunit ribosomal RNA", at positions 340 to 786 of the family's 1533-position model. The record is from RNAcentral.